UUAAGUUAUUAAGGGCGCACGGUGGAUGCCUUGGCACUAGAAGCCGAUGAAGGACGUUACUAACGACGAUAUGCUUUGGGGAGCUGUAAGUAAGCUUUGAUCCAGAGAUUUCCGAAUGGGGAAACCCAGCAUGAGUUAUGUCAUGUUAUCGAUAUGUGAAUACAUAGCAUAUCAGAAGGCACACCCGGAGAACUGAAACAUCUUAGUACCCGGAGGAAGAGAAAGAAAAUUCGAUUCCCUUAGUAGCGGCGAGCGAAACGGGAAGAGCCCAAACCAACAAGCUUGCUUGUUGGGGUUGUAGGACACUCUAUACGGAGUUACAAAGGACGACAUUAGACGAAUCAUCUGGAAAGAUGAAUCAAAGAAGGUAAUAAUCCUGUAGUCGAAAAUGUUGUCUCUCUUGAGUGGAUCCUGAGUACGACGGAGCACGUGAAAUUCCGUUGGAAUCUGGGAGGACCAUCUCCUAAGGCUAAAUACUCUCUAGUGACCGAUAGUGAACCAGUACCGUGAGGGAAAGGUGAAAAGCACCCCGGAAGGGGAGUGAAAUAGAACCUGAAACCGUGUGCUUACAAGUAGUCAGAGCCCGUUAAUGGGUGAUGGCGUGCCUUUUGUAGAAUGAACCGGCGAGUUACGAUUUGAUGCAAGGUUAAGCAGUAAAUGUGGAGCCGUAGCGAAAGCGAGUCUGAAUAGGGCGUUUAGUAUUUGGUCGUAGACCCGAAACCAGGUGAUCUACCCUUGGUCAGGUUGAAGUUCAGGUAACACUGAAUGGAGGACCGAACCGACUUACGUUGAAAAGUGAGCGGAUGAACUGAGGGUAGCGGAGAAAUUCCAAUCGAACCUGGAGAUAGCUGGUUCUCUCCGAAAUAGCUUUAGGGCUAGCCUCAAGUGAUGAUUAUUGGAGGUAGAGCACUGUUUGGACGAGGGGCCCCUCUCGGGUUACCGAAUUCAGACAAACUCCGAAUGCCAAUUAAUUUAACUUGGGAGUCAGAACAUGGGUGAUAAGGUCCGUGUUCGAAAGGGAAACAGCCCAGACCACCAGCUAAGGUCCCAAAAUAUAUGUUAAGUGGAAAAGGAUGUGGCGUUGCCCAGACAACUAGGAUGUUGGCUUAGAAGCAGCCAUCAUUUAAAGAGUGCGUAAUAGCUCACUAGUCGAGUGACACUGCGCCGAAAAUGUACCGGGGCUAAACAUAUUACCGAAGCUGUGGAUUGUCCUUUGGACAAUGGUAGGAGAGCGUUCUAAGGGCGUUGAAGCAUGAUCGUAAGGACAUGUGGAGCGCUUAGAAGUGAGAAUGCCGGUGUGAGUAGCGAAAGACGGGUGAGAAUCCCGUCCACCGAUUGACUAAGGUUUCCAGAGGAAGGCUCGUCCGCUCUGGGUUAGUCGGGUCCUAAGCUGAGGCCGACAGGCGUAGGCGAUGGAUAACAGGUUGAUAUUCCUGUACCACCUAUAAUCGUUUUAAUCGAUGGGGGGACGCAGUAGGAUAGGCGAAGCGUGCGAUUGGAUUGCACGUCUAAGCAGUAAGGCUGAGUAUUAGGCAAAUCCGGUACUCAUUAAGGCUGAGCUGUGAUGGGGAGAAGACAUUGUGUCUUCGAGUCGUUGAUUUCACACUGCCGAGAAAAGCCUCUAGAUAGAAAAUAGGUGCCCGUACCGCAAACCGACACAGGUAGUCAAGAUGAGAAUUCUAAGGUGAGCGAGCGAACUCUCGUUAAGGAACUCGGCAAAAUGACCCCGUAACUUCGGGAGAAGGGGUGCUCUUUAGGGUUAACGCCCAGAAGAGCCGCAGUGAAUAGGCCCAAGCGACUGUUUAUCAAAAACACAGGUCUCUGCUAAACCGUAAGGUGAUGUAUAGGGGCUGACGCCUGCCCGGUGCUGGAAGGUUAAGAGGAGUGGUUAGCUUCUGCGAAGCUACGAAUCGAAGCCCCAGUAAACGGCGGCCGUAACUAUAACGGUCCUAAGGUAGCGAAAUUCCUUGUCGGGUAAGUUCCGACCCGCACGAAAGGCGUAACGAUUUGGGCACUGUCUCAACGAGAGACUCGGUGAAAUCAUAGUACCUGUGAAGAUGCAGGUUACCCGCGACAGGACGGAAAGACCCCGUGGAGCUUUACUGUAGCCUGAUAUUGAAAUUCGGCACAGCUUGUACAGGAUAGGUAGGAGCCUUUGAAACGUGAGCGCUAGCUUACGUGGAGGCGCUGGUGGGAUACUACCCUAGCUGUGUUGGCUUUCUAACCCGCACCACUUAUCGUGGUGGGA
RNAcentral lists this ribosomal RNA (2248 nucleotides) under Staphylococcus aureus VET1917S. RNAcentral's name for it is "bacterial LSU rRNA". It matches the Rfam family "Bacterial large subunit ribosomal RNA", at positions 3 to 2249 of the family's 2925-position model. Lineage: Bacteria; Bacillati; Bacillota; Bacilli; Caryophanales; Staphylococcaceae. The record is from RNAcentral.